GAACGAUUGGCGCAGUGGUAGCGCACCUGAUUCCAGUUUCCAUGACACCAGGAAUUUCCAGGCGGUCAUCCGUUCGAUCCGGAUAUCGUUCA
Molecule: transfer RNA, 92 nt
Filed under: Drepanopeziza brunnea f. sp. 'multigermtubi' MB_m1
Lineage: Eukaryota; Fungi; Ascomycota; Leotiomycetes; Helotiales; Drepanopezizaceae
Description: Marssonina brunnea f. sp. 'multigermtubi' MB_m1 tRNA
Rfam family: tRNA
About the family: Transfer RNA (tRNA) molecules are approximately 80 nucleotides in length.
Source: Rfam by way of RNAcentral